UACGUAGGUGGCGAGCGUUGUCCGGAAUUACUGGGUGUAAAGGGUGCGUAGGCGGGUAUACAAGUCAGAUGUGAAAACCCUUGGCUCAACCAGGGGACUGCAUCUGAAACUGUAUAUCUUGAGUGUUGGAGAGGAAAGCGGAAUUCCUAGUGUAGCGGUGAAAUGCGUAGAUAUUAGGAGGAACACCAGUGGCGAAGGCGGCUUUCUGGACAAUAACUGACGCUGAUGCACGAAAGCGUGGGGAGCGAACAGG
This 253-nucleotide ribosomal RNA is filed under the name uncultured Eubacteriales bacterium. RNAcentral's name for it is "uncultured Clostridiales bacterium partial 16S ribosomal RNA". It matches the Rfam family "Bacterial small subunit ribosomal RNA", at positions 524 to 776 of the family's 1533-position model. The record is from RNAcentral. Lineage: Bacteria; Bacillati; Bacillota; Clostridia; Eubacteriales.